This 253-nucleotide ribosomal RNA is filed under the name uncultured bacterium. RNAcentral describes it as "partial 16S ribosomal RNA". It matches the Rfam family "Bacterial small subunit ribosomal RNA", at positions 524 to 776 of the family's 1533-position model. The record is from RNAcentral.
UACGGAGGGUGCAAGCGUUAUCCGGAUUCACUGGGUUUAAAGGGUGCGCAGGAGGGCAGGUAAGUCAGUGGUGAAAUCUCCAAGCUUAACUUGGAAACUGCCGUUGAUACUAUCUGUCUUGAAUACCGUGGAGGUGAGCGGAAUAUGUCAUGUAGCGGUGAAAUGCUUAGAUAUGACAUAGAACACCAAUUGCGAAGGCAGCUCGCUACACGAAUAUUGACUCUGAGGCACGAAAGCGUGGGGAUCAAACAGG